UUAAGUGACUAAGCGUACACGGUGGAUGCCUAGGCAGUCAGAGGCGAUGAAGGACGUGCUAAUCUGCGAUAAGCGUCGGUGAGCUGAUAUGAAGCAUUAUUAGCCGGCGAUGUCCGAAUGGGGAAACCCAGUGCAAUUCGUUGCACUAUCGUUAAGUGAAUCCAUAGCUUAACGAGGCGAACCAGGGGAACUGAAACAUCUAAGUACCCUGAGGAAAAGAAAUCAACCGAGAUUCCCCUAGUAGCGGCGAGCGAACGGGGAGCAGCCCAGAACCUGAAUCAGUUUGUGCAUUAGUGGAAGCGUCUGGAAAGUCGCGCGAUACCGGGUGAUAGCCCCGUACACGAAGGUGCACAGCUGUGAGUUCGAUGAGUAGGGCGGGACACGUGUUAUCCUGUCUGAAUAUGGGGGGACCAUCCUCCAAGGCUAAAUACUCCUGACUGACCGAUAGUGAACCAGUACCGUGAGGGAAAGGCGAAAAGAACCCCGGCGAGGGGAGUGAAAUAGAACCUGAAACCGUGUACGUACAAGCAGUGGGAGCACCCUUUGGGGUGUGACUGCGUACCUUUUGUAUAAUGGGUCAGCGACUUAUAUUUUGUAGCAAGGUUAACCGAAUAGGGGAGCCGUAGGGAAACCGAGUCUUAACUGGGCGUUGAGUUGCAAGGUAUAGACCCGAAACCCGGUGAUCUAGCCAUGGGCAGGUUGAAGGUUGGGUAACACUAACUGGAGGACCGAACCGACUAAUGUUGAAAAAUUAGCGGAUGACUUGUGGCUGGGGGUGAAAGGCCAAUCAAACCGGGAGAUAGCUGGUUCUCCCCGAAAGCUAUUUAGGUAGCGCCUCGUGAACUCAUCUUCGGGGGUAGAGCACUGUUUCGGCUAGGGGGUCAUCCCGACUUACCAACCCGAUGCAAACUGCGAAUACCGAAGAAUGUUAUCACGGGAGACACACGGCGGGUGCUAACGUCCGUCGUGAAGAGGGAAACAACCCAGACCGCCAGCUAAGGUCCCAAAGUCAUGGUUAAGUGGGAAACGAUGUGGGAAGGCAUAGACAGCCAGGAUGUUGGCUUAGAAGCAGCCAUCAUUUAAAGAAAGCGUAAUAGCUCACUGGUCGAGUCGGCCUGCGCGGAAGAUGUAACGGGGCUAAACCAUGCACCGAAGCUGCGGCAGCGACACUAUGUGUUGUUGGGUAGGGGAGCGUUCUGUAAGCCUGUGAAGGUGACCUGUGAGGGUUGCUGGAGGUAUCAGAAGUGCGAAUGCUGACAUAAGUAACGAUAAAGCGGGUGAAAAGCCCGCUCGCCGGAAGACCAAGGGUUCCUGUCCAACGUUAAUCGGGGCAGGGUAAGUCGACCCCUAAGGCGAGGCCGAAAGGCGUAGUCGAUGGGAAACAGGUUAAUAUUCCUGUACUUGGUGUUAUUGCGAAGGGGGGACGGAGAAGGCUAGGCCGGCCGGGCGACGGUUGUCCCGGUUUAAGCGUGUAGGUGUGAUGACCUGGCAAAUCCGGUCAUCUUCAACACUGAGGCGUGAUGACGAGGCACUACGGUGCUGAAGUGGUUGAUGCCCUGCUUCCAGGAAAAGCCUCUAAGCUCUAGAUAACAUUGAAUCGUACCCCAAACCGACACAGGUGGUCAGGUAGAGAAUACCAAGGCGCUUGAGAGAACUCGGGUGAAGGAACUAGGCAAAAUGGUGCCGUAACUUCGGGAGAAGGCACGCUGGCAUGUAGGUGAAGUCCCUCGCGGAUGGAGCUGAAGCCAGUCGAAGAUACCAGCUGGCUGCAACUGUUUAAUAAAAACACAGCACUCUGCAAACACGAAAGUGGACGUAUAGGGUGUGACGCCUGCCCGGUGCUGGAAGGUUAAUUGAUGGGGUCAGCCGCAAGGCGAAGCUCUUGAUCGAAGCCCCAGUAAACGGCGGCCGUAACUAUAACGGUCCUAAGGUAGCGAAAUUCCUUGUCGGGUAAGUUCCGACCUGCACGAAUGGCGUAAUGAUGGCCAGGCUGUCUCCACCCGAGACUCAGUGAAAUUGAACUCGCUGUGAAGAUGCAGUGUACCCGCGGCAAGACGGAAAGACCCCGUGAACCUUUACUAUAGCUUGACACUGAACAUUGAACCUUGAUGUGUAGGAUAGGUGGGAGGCUUUGAAGUGUGGACGCCAGUCUGCAUGGAGCCGACCUUGAAAUACCACCCUUUAAUGUUUGAUGUUCUAACCUGGUCCCGUAAUCCGGGAUAGGGACAGUGUCUGGUGGGUAGUUUGACUGGGGCGGUCUCCUCCCAAAGCGUAACGGAGGAGCACGAAGGUUAGCUAAUCCUGGUCGGACAUCAGGAGGUUAGUGCAAAGGCAUAAGCUAGCUUGACUGCGAGAGUGACGGCUCGAGCAGGUGCGAAAGCAGGUCUUAGUGAUCCGGUGGUUCUGAAUGGAAGGGCCAUCGCUCAACGGAUAAAAGGUACUCCGGGGAUAACAGGCUGAUACCGCCCAAGAGUUCAUAUCGACGGCGGUGUUUGGCACCUCGAUGUCGGCUCAUCACAUCCUGGGGCUGAAGUAGGUCCCAAGGGUAUGGCUGUUCGCCAUUUAAAGUGGUACGCGAGCUGGGUUUAGAACGUCGUGAGACAGUUCGGUCCCUAUCUGCCGUGGGCGUUGGAAGAUUGAGAGGGGCUGCUCCUAGUACGAGAGGACCGGAGUGGACGCACCGCUGGUGUUCGGGUUGUGAUGCCAAUUGCAUUGCCCGGUAGCUACGUGCGGAAGAGAUAAGCGCUGAAAGCAUCUAAGCGCGAAACUUGCCUCGAGAUGAGUCUUCCCUUGGACCUAGAGUCCACUGAAGGAACGUUUAAGACUAAGACGUUGAUAGGCUGGGUGUGUAAGCGUAGCGAUACGUUGAGCUAACCAGUACUAAUGAUCCGUGAGGCUUAACCUU
Molecule: ribosomal RNA, 2905 nt
Filed under: Edwardsiella hoshinae
Lineage: Bacteria; Pseudomonadati; Pseudomonadota; Gammaproteobacteria; Enterobacterales; Hafniaceae
Description: bacterial LSU rRNA
Rfam family: Bacterial large subunit ribosomal RNA
Source: RNAcentral